CACACACAGCACCCCUCACACACAACACCCCUCAGACACACACACAGCAUUCCACACCCUUACACACAAACACAUACACUGCACCCCUCAAUGCAGUAUGUGUGUGUGUAUUCAGCAGUCUGUAUGUGUGUGUAUUCAGCAGUCUGUGUGUGUGUGUGUAUUCAGCAGACUGUGUGUGUGUACUCAGCAGUGUGUAUAUUCAGCAGACUGUGUGUAUGUACUCAGCAGUCUUUGUGGGUGUAUUCAGCAGUCUGUGUGGGUGUAUUCAGCAGUGUAUGUAUUC
Non-coding RNA from Pelobates cultripes (western spadefoot toad), 283 nucleotides. The record is from the annotation of a GenBank genome assembly. NCBI's taxonomy places the organism in Eukaryota, Metazoa, Chordata, Amphibia, Anura, Pelobatidae.